Molecule: non-coding RNA, 29 nt
Filed under: Bombyx mori (domestic silkworm)
Lineage: Eukaryota; Metazoa; Arthropoda; Insecta; Lepidoptera; Bombycidae
Source: RNAcentral
UGUCUUGUUGUACUCUUCAAUGAAACGAU